This is a long non-coding RNA of Oncorhynchus tshawytscha (Chinook salmon), 2581 nucleotides long. RefSeq lists it as uncharacterized. Lineage: Eukaryota; Metazoa; Chordata; Actinopteri; Salmoniformes; Salmonidae. The record is from RefSeq and is a predicted model, not a curated record. The transcript is spliced from 11 exons.
UGACGCAGCAGCUUCUGGUUGGUUGAAGCGGAAGAGCCCUAGCGAAAGAGAAAGUUGCCUGCAUGCCAUGAGCUGAAUCCCAUCUGAUGUAGACGUUCAAGCGACGUGUCUGGAGAAGUUGGACUGGAGUGUGAACCCGCUGGGUGACGGACCCUGUCCUGCCUGCUGUCAGCCUGCCCCCUAAUGGCCAGCUUCCCCCUGCUGGCCUGCAUCUUCAAACCCUGCUGCUUGUAGCUACACAGCCUCCUACGGGCCAGCGCCUUCGCAGGAAUAAAGCAACACCGCCUCUUACUGGCCAGCACACUGGCAGGAACAGGGCACCUGAAGUUGGUGAAUCUGUCCCAUAAUGCCCUGUGCUCUAUGGGCUUUGAGCUGGUCCUGAAGACUCUGCCUCUCCAAUGUCUCACUCAACUCGAUCUGUCUGCCAUCCGCUGUGGAACCGCUGACCACCCUCCUUCAAAACAUCUGACGAUGACUGCUCCCUGACCCACCUGAGUCUUGCAGGAAAUCAACUGAUGGACGGCAGAGUGGCCACCCUCGCCAGCACAAAUCAUGAAGAUAUCUCUGGUCCUCCUUGCCUUCAGUCUGCUGGCUUGUUCAGUUUGGGAAAUCCAUGGGCAAUGCCAAGAGGUUGACCUUGAUGACCAGGAAGUAGUGGAAGUACAGCCGGAAAAGCGCAUGGAUGAAAGCAGCUCCUCUGACCACAGUGACUUGGAUAGCUCUGUCAGCCCUCUGCCGGCUGUCUGCCCACGCCUACCUGCAGCCCCCAAUCCACAGAAUGUACCCACAGUCAGGAAACAAGCUCUUCUGUUCCUGAAACCAGAUAUGCUGUGGCACCCUCUGCCAAGUGCCAAUGCCCGUCUCACUCAACUAAGACUGAGAUGGUUAGCAGAGUGUCGUUGUCCUCCAGUAGGGGUUUCUCUCUGAGGAAGACUGACGACGACCCCCGACCUUCCAUGGCGCCCCAGAACCACCACAGCACUCAGCAGCUUUACAGAGAGAGCAGCAGGUCAUAGAGCCCCACAGUAGCCGACGCGAUGACCCCCGACCUUCCACACCACCCCAGACCCACCACAGCAUUCAGCAGGUCCUGGCUGAGGUGUGUUCUUGGGACCUCGCCCCUGUUCCUGAGCAAUACAAGAAGGUCUGUCACAGCCUGGCAGUGGUGUCUGGAGGAGUUGGACUCGAGUGUGAACCUGUUGGGUGAUGGACCCUGUUUGGCCUGCUGUCAGCCUGCCCCCUACUGGGCAGCCUCUCCCUGCCGGCCUGCAGCCUCACAGCCUGCUACCAGUAGCCAUACAGCCUCAUACUGGCCAGCGCCUUUGCAGAUAAACAGCAACACUGCAUUGUACUGGCCAGUACCCUGGCAGGUAAACAGGCUCAUUGAUAACCUUUUUAAACUGAUAUACAAAUAUUAUUAGCAUUAGAUCAUUUAUAUAAAUGGUGAAAAGCACAGGAGCCAGAAUGGAACCUUGGGGGACACCAGUUUUCAACUCCACAUGGAUACAUUGCUAUCUGUUUAUGAGGUGGUUCUUGAAAUGUGACCUAAGAAUCAGAAUCAUGUCAUUGUCCUACAGGAACAGGGCACCUGAAGUCAGUGAAUCUGUCCCAUAACGCCCUGUGCUCUAUGGGCUUUGAGCUGGUCCUGAAGACUCUGCCUCUCCAAUGUCUUACUCAACUCAAUCUGUCUGCCAUCCGCUGUGGAACCGCUGACCACCCUCCUUCAAAACAUCUCAAACACACACACACACACACACACACACACACACACACACACACACACACAAAUGCAGACACAUACACACACAAAUUCAAAUAAAGUUAUUCUAUAGUGUACUUUCACAUUAAUUAAGCAUUGUUUGUCUAAAGAAAUGCAUAAUCUAUCACAGGAUCUACAGUAAGUAUUUACUUAGUAGAGGAAAUUUGUCCAGGAAGGUACACGAUAAAGACUGCAAAUCUAAGAAAUGGAUCAGUAAAUUGUGAGGAGCUUUUAAUAGAAUUUGUUGAAACAAUUGGUUGCGUUUCUGGUCUCAGGCAGGCGCCUUGCAAGUUGAGAAAACAUUUCACAGUUUGAAAAGGAAGUUUGUCAUCCGCUUAUCUGCUGCACAACUUUGCCUUUGGUAUUCAAGCUAAGAAACGUGUUGAUAUGGUAAUUAGGAUACAAUGGUUGUAUCUUAAUUGUAUAUUUGACUUAAUGGGGAGCUAUGGCAAGAUGAUAUUUAGAGGAGCAAAUGUAGUUGUCACACCCUGAUCUGUUUCACCUGUCUUUGUGAUUGUCUCCAUUAUCCCCUGUGUAUUUUAUACCUGUGUUCUCUGUUUGUCUGUUGCCAGUUCGUCUUGUUUGUCAAGUCAACCAAUGGUUUUGUCUCAUGUCCUGCUUUUCCCAGUCUCUUUUUCUCGCCCUCCUGGUUUUGACCCUUGCCUGUCCUGACUCUGAGCCUUCCUGCCUGACCACUCCACUUGCGGUCCACCCUGCCUGCCGUCCUGUACCUUUGCCCCACCUCUGGAUUAUUGACCCCUGCCUACCCUGAGCCUGCCUGCCUGCCGUCCAGUACCUUUGCCCCACCUCUGGAUUAUUGAC